AUGGGAAAUGUUAUUAAUCGCCUAAUUUUCAGAACUCAUUUUGGAGGUGGCAAAUCAACUGGUUUUGGUUUGAUAUAUGAUUCUGUUGAGAAUGCUAAGAAGUAUGAACCAAAAUACAGACUUAUCAGGAAUGGGUUUGAUACCAAGGUUGAGAAGUCAAGGAAGCAAACGAAGGAAAGAAAGAACAGGGCCAAGAAGAUUCGCGGAAUUAAGAAGACCAAGGCUGGCGAUGCUGCCAAGGCUGGAAAGAAGAAAUCAGCUUUCAGAUAUUUUGUUAUGAAAUUAAAAUUAUUUUGCUGUUGGUAUUUCUUGAGGCUAUUUCAUAGUCUUAUAGCUUUCUAG
Non-coding RNA from Vicia faba (fava bean), 342 nucleotides. The record is from the annotation of a GenBank genome assembly. Lineage: Eukaryota; Viridiplantae; Streptophyta; Magnoliopsida; Fabales; Fabaceae.